GACGCGGUGUCGCAGUGGUUGGGUGUGCUUGACUUGAGAUCAAAAAGUCCAGAGUUCGAGUCCUUGCCACAGCU
This is a non-coding RNA of Gymnothorax javanicus (giant moray), 74 nucleotides long. The record is from the annotation of a GenBank genome assembly. NCBI's taxonomy places the organism in Eukaryota, Metazoa, Chordata, Actinopteri, Anguilliformes, Muraenidae.